Molecule: ribosomal RNA, 460 nt
Filed under: uncultured bacterium
Lineage: Bacteria
Description: SSU rRNA
Rfam family: Bacterial small subunit ribosomal RNA
Source: RNAcentral
AGGAUGAACGCUGGCGGUCUGCUUAACACAUGCAAGUCGAACGGAGUACCUCGGUACUUAGUGGCGGACGGGUGAGUAACGCGUGAGAAUCUGCCCUUAGGUCGGGGACAACCAUUGGAAACGAUGGCUAAUACCGGAUAAGCCGAGAGGUAAAAGAUUAAUUGCCUAGGGAAGAGCUCGCGUCUGAUUAGCUAGUUGGUGAGGUAAAGGCUCACCAAGGCAUCGAUCAGUAGCUGGUCUGAGAGGAUGAUCAGCCACACUGGGACUGAGACACGGUCCAGACUCCUACGGGAGGCAGCAGUGGGGAAUAUUGCGCAAUGGGCGAAAGCCUGACGCAGCGACGCCGCGUGGGGGAUGAAGCUUCUCGGAGUGUAAACCCCUUUCGACCCGGACGAAACGCCCGCAAGGGCUUGACGGUACGGGUAUAAGAAGCCCCGGCUAACUACGUGCCAGCAGCCGC